Molecule: non-coding RNA, 1030 nt
Organism: Labrus bergylta (ballan wrasse)
Lineage: Eukaryota; Metazoa; Chordata; Actinopteri; Labriformes; Labridae
Source: RefSeq, a predicted model, not a curated record
UAAAACUUAAAGACGAUAAUAGUUACACUCACAGUUCACCCUCUGCUGGUCUGUUCCUGAGGACACCGCCGUCCCCUAGUCCCCAGCCUUUGUUGUCCCAGCCACCUCAGUGCAGGAAACACUGAAGAAGAUCCUCAGCCUGAAGGAGGAGCCACCUGCAGUACGGAAUCUUCUCUUGGAAUGGUCCAGGCGCCACAACUUCAGGUUGGUUAACCUCCUGUAGGGGUCAGAGGGGGACGACCCCUGCUCGAUUCUCGAGAAUUGGAUUCCGGCGACACUGGGCAUCACAACACUAAGCUCUGAAGUUAUUCCAGAAGGAGUCCAUGGUGUCGACCCAAGACGGGAACUCACUGCACCCCUGAGAACAAUGAAGAUUCUGAACGGCAUGGGUAAGGUGGCUGUGUUAAGAGCAGUCAAAGCCAAAAAACAAGUUCUCUACAAGGAUAAACCAGAACGUUUCUACCCACACUUGACGGCAGGAGUGCACAAAAAGCAGAAGAAAUACAAGUGUGAAACAGAAGCUUUGUGACAUCAAACAUGGCAUACUCAUUCCUGCCAGACCGCUGGUUACCUACAAUGACAAACACAAACUUUACGUACAACGUCAGAUAAUUUUAUCAAAUUUAAGGGACUAAAAGAUUAGAAUACUACUACGCCAUGGUGUAUUGAUAAUGAUUUAGGCAUUUGUUAUAUUAAGUUAUGUAAUGAUGAAAUUAGGAUUCUGGCAUGGUUACAGGUCUGUUCUAUGUGAAAUACAUACAAGUCUGCUUUUAUUGUCAUUGUUAUUGUAUUAUUAGUGUAGUAGCUGUUUGUCUAAAAAUACAAAUAAAUAAAACUCAUCAAACAUAAACCAAAGGCCACUGAUGCGCCAUGGAGAUGUGGUGCACACAGGCAAAAGAAGUACAUUCAAAAUGUGUGUGUUUCUGAUGAUUUGGUAAAUGAUGACUGGUAAAAAAAAAAACAUAGGCCCACCCAGGUGCAUGCUGGACCUCUACCUGCCUUCUUACCUAUAUAAGCCAGAGUGUGACCC